UUGGCCCUACGGGGGGCAGCAGUGGGGAAUAUUGGGCAAUGGGCGCAAGCCUGACCCAGCAACGCCGCGUGAAGGAAGAAGGCCCUCGGGUUGUAAACUUCUUUUAUCGGGGACGAAACAAAUGACGGUACCUGAUGAAUAAGCCACGGCUAACUACGUGCCAGCAGCCGCGGUAAUACGUAGGUGGCAAGCGUUAUCCGGAUUUACUGGGUGUAAAGGGCGUGUAGGCGGGAGAGCAAGUCAGA
RNAcentral lists this ribosomal RNA (245 nucleotides) under uncultured bacterium. Its description in RNAcentral is "partial 16S ribosomal RNA". It matches the Rfam family "Bacterial small subunit ribosomal RNA", at positions 333 to 592 of the family's 1533-position model. The record is from RNAcentral.